RNAcentral lists this ribosomal RNA (442 nucleotides) under uncultured Nostoc sp. RNAcentral's name for it is "bacterial SSU rRNA". It matches the Rfam family "Bacterial small subunit ribosomal RNA", at positions 40 to 525 of the family's 1533-position model. The record is from RNAcentral. Lineage: Bacteria; Bacillati; Cyanobacteriota; Cyanophyceae; Nostocales; Nostocaceae.
CGGGCUUUCUUACCAUGCAAGUCGAACGGGGGUAGCGAUACCCUAGUGGCGGACGGGUGAGUAACGCGUGAGAAUAAGCCUUCAGGUUGGGGACAACCACUGGAAACGGUGGCUAAUACCCUAUGUGCUUCACGGUGAAAGAUUUAUCGCCUGAAGAGGAGCUCGCGUCUGAUUAGCUAGUUGGUAGGGUAAAAGCCUACCAAGGCGACGAUCAGUAGCUGGUCUGAGAGGAUGAUCAGCCACACUGGGACUGAGACACGGCCCAGACUCCUACGGGAGGCAGCAGUGGGGAAUUUUCCGCAAUGGGCGAAAGCCUGACGGAGCAAGACCGCGUGAGGGAGGAAGGCUCUUGGGUUGUAAACCUCUUUUCUCAGGGAAGAACACAAUGACGGUACCUGAGGAAUCAGCCUCGGCUAACUCCGUGCCAGCAGCCGCGGUAAUA